CCCUGCUGCUCCGUUCGGAGUUUGCUGGAACCAGUGGCUGCGCCUCGGCCUCUCCUUGUCCCCGUCGUCCUCGCCGGUGUGCGCCGCCCGAGGCUCAUCGGAGCACCACCACCAAAGGGCGUUCCCCGCCAUGACGCCUUGGCCUCCUCUGCUUCACCUGCCGCGCCGCCAUUGCCAUUCGUCGACCCCGCAGCCUCAAACUCCCGUGCCGAAGCACCACCUCGAGCACCUCCUUCCUUGAGCAGGAGCUCGACCUGCUGUCGGCGACCUCGCCCUCCGAUGACCUAAACAACCAGGUGUGGCCGUCGAUCGCCAUGGCGCCGCUGCCCUCGUUGUUCACCGAGGUGGGUCCCGAUCUAGAUCGCUCUGCUACUGGGUCCAAGACGCCGCCGUCCCAGGCUUCUGCAGCCGCGCCGCCAUCGUCCCGGACGUCCCUGCUUCGCCAUGGCCAUCCCCGUGGUCUCUGCUUCCUUUUGCACCGAGCCGAGCCAGAGAACGAGCAGUUCGUUUGAUCCCCGCUCCCCUGCCUCGCGUUGACCGAGUCGUUUUCCCCUGCCGGCCUCCCUCUUCGCCAGCUGGGCUUGGCCCAUGGAUGAGCCCCAAGGGCCCUCCUGUUUUUUUUCAUUGUUGGGCCAGCUAGUUACGGCCUGAUGUGAUUUUUUUUCAGUUCUGCGAAUUUAUCAUUUAACCUGGUCAUUACAUAUUUACAGGAUAUGCCAUCA
Molecule: long non-coding RNA, 722 nt
Organism: Triticum aestivum (bread wheat)
Lineage: Eukaryota; Viridiplantae; Streptophyta; Magnoliopsida; Poales; Poaceae
Exons: 2
Source: RefSeq, a predicted model, not a curated record